RNAcentral lists this ribosomal RNA (433 nucleotides) under uncultured bacterium. Its description in RNAcentral is "partial 16S ribosomal RNA". It matches the Rfam family "Bacterial small subunit ribosomal RNA", at positions 29 to 507 of the family's 1533-position model. The record is from RNAcentral.
AACGAACGCUGGCGGCAUGCCUAACACAUGCAAGUCGAACGAGACCUUCGGGUCUAGUGGCGCACGGGUGCGUAACGCGUGGGAACCUGCCCUUAGGUUCGGAAUAACUCCCGGAAAGGGGUGCUAAUACCGGAUAAUGUCUUCGGACCAAAGAUUUAUCGCCUUUGGAUGGGCCCGCGUUGGCUUAGCUAGUUGGUAGGGUAAAAGCCUACCAAGGCGACGAUCCAUAGCUGGUCUGAGAGGAUGAUCAGCCACACUGGGACUGAGACACGGCCCAGACUCCUACGGGAGGCAGCAGUGGGGAAUAUUGGACAAUGGGCGAAAGCCUGAUCCAGCAAUGCCGCGUGAGUGAUGAAGGCCUUAGGGUUGUAAAGCUCUUUUACCCGGGAUGAUAAUGACAUUACCGGGAGAAUAAGCUCCGGCUAACUCCGUG